RNAcentral lists this long non-coding RNA (790 nucleotides) under Equus asinus (donkey). Its description in RNAcentral is "lncRNA (ENSEASG00005027423.1)". Lineage: Eukaryota; Metazoa; Chordata; Mammalia; Perissodactyla; Equidae. The record is from RNAcentral.
AUUCAGGUGGGCCUAGUGGAAUCAGGUGCGUUCCUAAAAGUGAAAGAGGGAAGCAGAGAUGUAGUCCGUCAAAGAUGUGACUGUGGAGGAAAGGCACAAAGAAUGCAACAUUACUGGCUUUAAAGAUGGAAGUGGGGCCGUGAGAUAAGGAAUGCAGGUAGCCUCUUGAAGCUGGAAAAGCAUUUAAUGAAGAGGCUUCAAGAAGAAACAGAGUAAAAUCUCCAUGACAACACAUGAAAGAUUUUGUCCUAUCAAUUUAAAGCAGACCAUCAGUGAUUGUUCAGCAGAUCAUAAGUGAUUAUAGAAGAUUAGCCCUGAGCUAACUGCUGCCAAUCCUCCUCUUUUUUUGCUGAGGAAGUCUGGCCCUGAGCCAACAUCCAUGCCCAUCUUCCUCUACUCUACAUGUGGGACACCUACCACAGCAUGGCUUCCCAAGCAGUGCCAUGUCCACCCCCGAGAUCUGAACCUGCCAUCCCUGGGCCACCGAUGCAGAACAUGCGAACUUAGCUGUUGUGCCACUGGGCCGGCCCCAUUGUGUUUUAAUGUUAUAUAAAAUUUAUGUUAUUUUUGCAAGCUAUAGAUCUGUUCAAAAUAGAGGCUUCUAUUCCUAAUUUUUUGGAAUAUUUUCUUCAUUCACUUACUUAUUCACUCAAUGACUUAGUGAAUAUUACAGAGUGCUUACCUAGUAUGUGCCAGAUACUUUUAUCAGAAUUUAAAAAUGAAUGUAUGACUCUAGAGAUGAUUUAAUUUUUUAAAUUGUUUCAUGUGAAAAUGAUAGGGCCAAUCUUUA